GACGAACGCUGGCGGCGUGCCUAAUACAUGCAAGUCGAACGCUUCUUUCCUCCCGAGUGCUUGCACUCAAUUGGAAAGAGGAGUGGCGGACGGGUGAGUAACACGUGGGUAACCUACCCAUCUGAGGGGGAUAACACUUGGAAACAGGUGCUAAUACCGCAUAACAGUUUAUGCCGCAUGGCAUAAGAGUGAAAGGCGCUUUCGGGUGUCGUUGAUGGAUGGACCCGCGGUGCAUUAGCUAGUUGGUGAGGUAACGGCUCACCAAGGCCACGAUGCAUAGCCGACCUGAGAGGGUGAUCGGCCACACUGGGACUGAGACACGGCCCAGACUCCUACGGGAGGCAGCAGUAGGGAAUCUUCGGCAAUGGACGAAAGUCUGACCGAGCAACGCCGCGUGAGUGAAGAAGGUUUUCGGAUCGUAAAACUCUGUUGUUAGAGAAGAACAAGGACGUUAGUAACUGAACGUCCCCUGACGGUAUCUAACCAGAAAGCCACGGCUAACUACGUG
Molecule: ribosomal RNA, 508 nt
Filed under: uncultured bacterium
Lineage: Bacteria
Description: partial 16S ribosomal RNA
Rfam family: Bacterial small subunit ribosomal RNA
Source: RNAcentral